This is a long non-coding RNA of Homalodisca vitripennis (glassy-winged sharpshooter), 219 nucleotides long. RefSeq lists it as uncharacterized. NCBI's taxonomy places the organism in Eukaryota, Metazoa, Arthropoda, Insecta, Hemiptera, Cicadellidae. The record is from RefSeq and is a predicted model, not a curated record. The transcript has 2 exons.
CGGUCUUUUGCACACAUCAAAGUGGACGAAUAUUUGGGAAAAGGCAAACUUUGCUUCAUCCACACAUUCGGCUUUGUGGUUGGGAGAUAAGAACUGUUCACGGUUUCCAAUUUUGUCAUCAGAGCCUCAUUGACUAUUGGGUAUGGAGUGGCCUAAUGAGUUGGUGUUGGAUUUCUUACAAUACUAUGAGAAUGAACCAGUUAUUUGGAACCCUUCUCA